Long non-coding RNA from Dunckerocampus dactyliophorus (ringed pipefish), 2684 nucleotides. RefSeq lists it as uncharacterized. The transcript has 3 exons. NCBI's taxonomy places the organism in Eukaryota, Metazoa, Chordata, Actinopteri, Syngnathiformes, Syngnathidae. The record is from RefSeq and is a predicted model, not a curated record.
UUCAAUAUACGUCCGCUUCCGGUGUCCCCCCGUUUUAUUCUUCCGUCUAAUUGUUUGAAUACUUAGACGGUCUCGAUGACGUUCUGCUGCACGGAUUGUAUUUACACGUUUUUAAAAAUAUCCACGUUGUUAACGUGACAAAUAUAAUAUGAUUGUGAACAUGUGUACUUUAAACAUUACCACAGGUGUCCACGCGGUGGCAGCAUUGCUGUGCUGUGCUGAUAAAAUGUCGAUUGAAACAAAAUGGAAGUAUGUUCAAUGUUGUUACAUAACGGCCAAUCUGGAUGUGAAUGCGUCGCUCAGCUGUGUAGCUGGUCACAAUCGCUUGCCGCCUCCUGUGUGUCCCUAAGCGUCUGAGAUUGUGGUCCUCCAUCACAGCAAAGGUGUUCACUGGGGCAGGACGCUAAGGACGUUGGUGAUGGUCCACUUUUGCCCGCUGCAGUCUCGAACGGCCAGCUGGGAACUCACCUGCAACUCUGGCUGACCGCUUUCCACCAUCUCCAGACAACGCCGGGACUCGGCGUUGUGGAUGGAGCCAUCCUGGGACAGAGGGAGAGACGCGGAAGGAGUGAGCGCCGAUAUGAGAAUGCCACAUCACCGUAACAAACAGUCGUGCGACAUCUCCGCAUAGCCGGAUGCCGUUUGACGCCCCUGCGCAACCUUAAGCUCCCUUGUUCCAUUGAAGGAUCAUGAUGGUGGAAAACCUCUCAGGUGGGAUCUCCUUGUCACGCCAGUAACGUUGGAAGCCAUCAGGACCGUCGAGGGAGAAGAAAACUUUCAAUGUCCCAUUUUUGGUGCUCUCCUGCAAAUUUCAAACCUUGAAGGAGACCAGAGCCUUUUUCAUUUUAUUUUUUUCUUUAAUAUUUCAAGUCUGAGCCACUAAAAAUGCCAUUAUUAUGCUACUAAAAUGACAUUGUUUCUCUCUUAAUAUUAAACGUUAUUCAGUACAACUUUUUUCUGCUAAUAUUUUGACGUUAUUCUUGGAAAAUCGCCCAUUUUUGCUGUUUUUUUUUCUCCAUUUUCCAAAAUAUUUCUACUUUUUACAGUAAUUUUCCUAACUUUUUCUUUAGUAAUAUUUUGACUUUAUUUUUUUUUUAUUUUGACAAAUUUGACUCCCCCCCCAAAAUCUCCUAAAAUGAUGAUUUUAACCAAAACAUUUUUGUUAACAUUUUUUGUUUUGUUUGAAAAUACAGCUGUUUUUUUUUUUUUUUUAAUUCCAGCUAAUUCAACUUUAUUCUUUUUUUUCUCUUAAUAUUUUGACUUUAUUCUUGUAAAAUGACUGCUCUUUUUCCCCCAUUUUUGCUGUUGCUGUUUUUUCUUCAUUUUCCAAAAUAUUUCUACUUUUUAAAGUAAUUUUUGUAAAUUUUUCUUUUGUAAUAUUUUGACUUUUUUUAUUUUCUUUUUUAUUUUAUUUUGACAAAAAUCAUGACUUUAGCAAAAACAUUUUUUUGUUAACAUUAUUUUUCCUGAUAAUAUUACAAGUUUAUUCAUGUAAAAUUGUGCCAUUUUUCAAUUAAUAUUUUGAAUUUUCUCAUGAAAAUAAAGCUGUUUUUUUUUUAAAUUUUUGCUGCUUUAAAAAAAAUAUUUUUCAACUAUUUCAACUUUAUUUUUGUAAAAGGACUGCUCUUUUCCCCCCAAUUUUGCUGUUGCUGUUUUUUCUUCAUGUUCCAAAUAUUUCUACUUUUUAAAGUGAAUUUUGUACAUUUUGCUUUUGUAAUAUUUUGACUUCAUUUGCCUCACAAUAUAACUUUUUACUCAUCCUAAUUUGAACAAAUUAUUUGUGUUGUUUCUCCUAAUAUUAUGACUUUAACAAAAAAAAUGUCUUUAAUAUUACAACUUUAUGCUACUAAAAUGACAUUAUUUUUCCUCGUAAUGUUGCAACGCUAUUGUCACAAGUUUCAUGCAUUUUCCUUUUGUAAUAUUUUGACUUUAUUUGCAUAAUAUUAUAACUUUUUAUCCCAUUCAUUCCUUAUAACUUUAUUUUUAGCCCAUCCUAACUUUACCCCAAAAAUGCUGCUUUCCCAUGCCUCAACACACCUUUGGAGGCUCAUUCUUCUUAAAGGCUCCCUGACGUGAUUCAUCAACUUGGCUUAAAUAUGUCAUAUAUUGCUUGUAAUUAUGUUCUACAUUGUUGGAUUUUUGAAAGCGAAUAGUAAAUUUGCAAAAAUGACAUUUAUAGUUGACGGCGCCAGCUAGCUCUCACUGUUCAGUCUCAUUUCCCGAAGCGACGUCAUCGCUCAGGUAAACAAACGUGGCGGUGUACGAGACGGAGGAUGUUUACAAAUAAGUGCGUCAUCAAAAUCUGCUGAUGGUAAAAAAUGCCAUGAGAUACGAUAGAAAUAGAAAAGUUGGGAGUGGCACAGUCAAACCUGGGUUCUCCUUCACCCCACAUUUGUUUUUUGUCCAAGAAUUUUGCUCGGAUUUGGCCUUGGUUUGUGUACAGUAUUGCACAAUGCGCUGUAUGGUUGCCAAAGACGGCACGCGACGCGUUGCUGACUCAUUGUCAGUGCAUUUUCUGGCAUUUGAGUCUGGCUGGUAAACAACCCGCCAUGGGGCCAAAGACAGUUACGAGUGCCAGCAAUUUGAUAACUUCACUCUUUGCUCCCCCCCCCCCAAAAAAAUAAUACAAUAACUUUCUUCAGAAAUAAUAAUAAUAAAAAUAGGUCCCAACCUAAUUUCCCAAA